GUGUAGGUUUCUGGUUCUCAAACUGCCGGACAUUAACAUCUGUCUGCGGACUGUGAGAAUGCGGACCUCCCCAGGUCCAAGGAAAUUCUGAAUCCGUAGGUCUGAAGGGAGAUCAAGAAUCAGACUUAUUUUACUCAUCUGGAUUGUUCCAAGGCCCGUGAGUAGGGAAAUGCUUCUUCCAGUCCCUCCCCCACGGAUCCCACCCUUGGACUCUUGGAUCCAAGUACACUUUUAAAGCUACGAGUUGCCCCCUGGAAGGAAAACGCCCGCCACGGACUUGGUCCGCCCAGAAGAAAAACUGAGACUAAGGAUUCAGGAUUCAAAACCCGCCGAGAUUCUGCCGCGUUCAGGGAGGAAACUUCUUUAGAUCCAAAGUGACUUCCUGAGAUAAGACGACAGCAGAACCAAAAAUAAAUAAAAUAAGACGCCAGCAGAGUCCGCGGUUUACAUACACGCCCUGUGGCAUUUGGGAGUUCCCCAAGCAAGGGAUCCAACUCAGGCCACUUCGGUGACAACAAAGGAUCCUUAAUCCACUGAGUCACAAGGGAACGCCUUUGUUGUUUUUGGGUUUUGUUUUUAAUAAGCUACAGAUUUUAAAAAAUCAAAUUAACUAAAAUCCAACACCAGAAGCUGUAUUUUGAGAUAAUCUUUCACAUUUUCAGAGCCUUGAAUUUUUCAAAGAGUGCUUUUGAAAGGGAUGUUUUUAGUGGAGUGGACAGACACAUACACAAGCAUUUAUGAGGCACAGACUCAUAAAAAGACACACAAAUGGGGGGCACACAGGGGAUCCUGUCACAUUUAUGAUCAAACCAUAUAGUUUGAAACCUGUCUUGCCAUUACGUUCUCCAGUCGAGGAAAGUUUGGGGCAAAUCUUUUCCUUAAGCCUCCAUUCGUCCUUGUGAAAAGUUAAAGGCUUUCAGAGCAAGUCUGAGGAAGGACGCGGAUAUUCUUCUGUCUUUGGUCUUUUUAGGGCCACACCCAGCGGCAUAUGGAGGCUCCCAGGCUAGGGGUCUAAUCGGAGCUGUAGCCGCCGGCCUACACCACAACCACAGCAACACAGGAUCCUAGCUUUGUCUUCGACCUAUACACAGCUCACAGCAAUGCCGGAUCCUUAACCCACUGAGCAAGGCCAGGGAUCGAACCACAACCUCGUGGUUCCUAGUCAGAGUUGUGUCUGCUGUGCCUCCACGGGAACUCAGGACACUGAUUUUCUGAUCUGAGGAAAUUUCGAGAAUGUUGGACAAUGGCAGUGUCUGGGUAAGAGCAUCCAGCCCCACCUGGAGCAUGCUUGCUCUAGGUCACAGUUUGGCCCCGGCUCAAGGAGAGGACGAAGAGAAACUGCACCCGCUUUUGGCUGAGCCUGGCGCCCAGGCAGCUGAGCAGGAUGUGCUUCUGCUCACAAUCACCACCCGACCCGCUCUGCUUCCUGUAGAUGCUGAGGGAGCCCACUCGGCCUUGGGAGGCCCAGCUGGUUCAAGAGUUUUGUGCCGAGACCUGGGCUGCUCCUGGCGAUUUCUGAUGCGCUUAAACUGCGAGGAGACUGUAAAUUUUUUCUUUUGAAAGAUUGGCUUCUAUCUCCCACUCUGACUGGUUUACCAGAUUCAUCUCAAUAAAACACAAAAACAAAA
Long non-coding RNA from Sus scrofa (pig), 1628 nucleotides. RefSeq lists it as uncharacterized. The record is from RefSeq and is a predicted model, not a curated record. NCBI's taxonomy places the organism in Eukaryota, Metazoa, Chordata, Mammalia, Artiodactyla, Suidae.